RNAcentral lists this small RNA (267 nucleotides) under Oryza sativa Japonica Group (Japanese rice). Its description in RNAcentral is "sRNA Os02g0810000". Lineage: Eukaryota; Viridiplantae; Streptophyta; Magnoliopsida; Poales; Poaceae. The record is from RNAcentral.
UAGAUGUUGAUGUCAGCUGUGCUGCGCACCUGACAGCAUAGAUUGAUAAUGUGCUCUGGAGAACGCGUAGUUGAUUGGAUCUCCUCGAGGAAGUACAGGAUGGCUAUAUACCCCGCUAAUCUGUAAUUCAAUUCUAUUUUUUGCCCCCUUAUUUUCUUCUUCCAGCUGGAUGUAUGUUUGAUGAUCAUGAUGAUACGGCCCUGUUGUUGUUAAAGAUGUGUUUUGUGGGGGGCUUUUUAGCUGUAGCACUUCCCCUCCUGUUGUACG